This 253-nucleotide ribosomal RNA is filed under the name uncultured bacterium. RNAcentral's name for it is "partial 16S ribosomal RNA". It matches the Rfam family "Bacterial small subunit ribosomal RNA", at positions 524 to 776 of the family's 1533-position model. The record is from RNAcentral.
UACGUAGGGGGCAAGCGUUGUCCGGAAUCAUUGGGCGUAAAGCGCGCGUAGGCGGCCCGGUAAGUCCGUUGUGAAAGUCAAAGGCUCAACCUUUGAAAGCCGAUGGAUACUGCCGGGCUAGAGUCCGGAAGAGGCGAGUGGAAUUCCUGGUGUAGCGGUGGAAUGCGCAGAUAUCAGGAGGAACACCAAUAGCGAAGGCAGCUCGCUGGGACGGUACUGACGCUGAGGCGCGAAAGCGUGGGGAGCGAACAGG